AGCUGGUCUGAUGGUAGUGGAUUAUCAGAACUUAUUAACAUUAGUGUCACUAAAGUUGGUAUUCCACCCCCCACUGCUAAAUUAGACUGGCUUUAA
RNAcentral lists this Y RNA (96 nucleotides) under Prolemur simus (greater bamboo lemur). Its description in RNAcentral is "Y RNA (ENSPSMG00000003352.1)". It matches the Rfam family "Y RNA". Rfam says of the family: Y RNAs are components of the Ro ribonucleoprotein particle (Ro RNP), in association with Ro60 and La proteins. Lineage: Eukaryota; Metazoa; Chordata; Mammalia; Primates; Lemuridae. The record is from Rfam by way of RNAcentral.